This 100-nucleotide non-coding RNA is filed under the name Halalkalibacter krulwichiae. RNAcentral's name for it is "Bacillus krulwichiae TPP sequence". It matches the Rfam family "TPP riboswitch aptamer (THI element)". Rfam says of the family: Vitamin B(1) in its active form thiamin pyrophosphate (TPP) is an essential coenzyme that is synthesised by coupling of pyrimidine and thiazole moieties in bacteria. The previously detected thiamin-regulatory element, thi box was extended, resulting in a new, highly conserved RNA secondary structure, the THI element, which is widely distributed in eubacteria and also occurs in some archaea. Analysis of operon structures identified a large number of new candidate thiamin-regulated genes, mostly transporters, in various prokaryotic organisms. The record is from Rfam by way of RNAcentral. Lineage: Bacteria; Bacillati; Bacillota; Bacilli; Caryophanales; Bacillaceae.
UAAAUCCACUAGGGGUGUCAUUUGACUGAGAGAGGUGAAUCCUCAACUCUAAAUACCUGAUCUAGUUCAUACUAGCGUAGGGAAGUGGCUCGGUAAUCGA